GAUGAGCGCUGACAGAAUGCUUAACACAUGCAAGUCGAGGGGCAGCACAAGGCAGCAAUGCUGAGGUGGCGACCGGCGCACGGGUGAGUAACGCGUAUGCAACUUACCUAUCAGAGGGGGAUAACCCGGCGAAAGUCGGACUAAUACCGCAUAAAGCAGGGGCCCCGCAUGGGGAUAUUUGCUAAAGAUUCAUCGCUGAUAGAUAGGCAUGCGUUCCAUUAGGCAGUUGGCGGGGUAACGGCCCACCAAACCUACGAUGGAUAGGGGUUCUGGGAGGAAGGUCCCCCACACUGGUACGGAGACACGGACCAGACUCCUACGGGAGGCAGCAGUGAGGAAUAUUGGUCAAUGGGCGAGAGCCUGAACCAGCCAAGUCGCGUGAGGGAUGAAGGUUCUAUGGAUCGUAAACCUCUUUUACACGGGAAUAAAGUGGGGGACGUGUCCCCCUUUGUAUGUACCGUAUGAAUAAGGAUCGGCUAACUCCGUGCCAGCCGCCGCAGUAACAC
RNAcentral lists this ribosomal RNA (506 nucleotides) under uncultured bacterium. Its description in RNAcentral is "bacterial SSU rRNA". It matches the Rfam family "Bacterial small subunit ribosomal RNA", at positions 28 to 526 of the family's 1533-position model. The record is from RNAcentral.